Molecule: ribosomal RNA, 254 nt
Filed under: uncultured bacterium
Lineage: Bacteria
Description: partial 16S ribosomal RNA
Rfam family: Bacterial small subunit ribosomal RNA
Source: RNAcentral
UACGUAGGGUGCAAGCGUUGUCCGGAAUUAUUGGGCGUAAAGAGCUCGUAGGCGGUUUGUCGCGUCUGCUGUGAAAACCUGUAGCUUAACUGUGGGCUUGCGGUCGAUACGGGCAUCACUGGAGUUCGGCAGGGGAGACUGGAAUUCCUGGUGUAGCGGUGAAAUGCGCAGAUAUCAGGAGGAACACCGGUGGCGAAGGCAGGUCUCUGGGCUGACACUGACGCUCAUGCACGAAAGCGUGGGGAGCAAACAGG